UACGUAGGGUCCGAGCGUUGUCCGGAAUUACUGGGCGUAAAGAGCUCGUAGGUGGUUUGUCACGUUGUUCGUGAAAACCCACAGCUCAACUGUGGGCGUGCGAGCGAUACGGGCAGACUAGAGUACUGCAGGGGAGACUGGAAUUCCUGGUGUAGCGGUGGAAUGCGCAGAUAUCAGGAGGAACACCGGUGGCGAAGGCGGGUCUCUGGGCAGUAACUGACGCUGAGGAGCGAAAGCGUGGGGAGCAAACAGG
Molecule: ribosomal RNA, 253 nt
Filed under: uncultured bacterium
Lineage: Bacteria
Description: partial 16S ribosomal RNA
Rfam family: Bacterial small subunit ribosomal RNA
Source: RNAcentral